ACCGACCGUUGCUGCUACCUUGACGUGGUGGUCGGGCUUGCCUAUCGUGGUGAACCAAUAGAGCUAUGCUGGCUGGAACAAUCAUUCCUCAAGGUCCUACCAUGUCAGACAGGUCGGUUGAAGAGCGGUAAGACUAAAAGCAGC
Molecule: non-coding RNA, 144 nt
Filed under: Schistosoma mansoni
Lineage: Eukaryota; Metazoa; Platyhelminthes; Trematoda; Strigeidida; Schistosomatidae
Source: RNAcentral